AGACUAGCAUCUUAGACUAGCAUCUUGGCAUAUGCUGGCUGGUUAGCAGCCCUAUAAAUAUGUAUCCCCAACCCCUCAGGUUGGUAUAGCAUUGUGUGAGAAAUAAACCCAGAAAAUUUCCCCAACUCAGUGUGCUAUCCUCUCAAUGAGAGUAAGGAUCCUGCUCACACCUAGAGCAAGGAUCCAGCGACUAACAGUUUCUGCAUAUAUGAUUGCACGACCAGACCAGUUUAUCCAAAUUCCAAUUGCCCAAGCAGUAUGCCAGAAUGACAGAGAUCCAGUUUUGAGUCUCAAAGGCAAUUAGGUAUUUAGGUCUAACCAAGUCUUUGUCCUUUCAACAAGUAUUUCAUGCAGGUUCUACCAAACAAUUAUGUACAAAAAGUCUAAAACACUAAACUGUAGAGAAACACAAUUUUCCCUAAUCAACUCUUCCUGUUCUAAAUCCAAACACCUCUGUGCAGGCGCUAUCUGCUAUAAAGUUCAAUAUUUUGAGAAUAGAUUCAACUUAGUCAACAAUUUAACCAUGGCUUCACGGCAUGUCAACACCAUGCACUCAAAAUAAAGCGAAAAUCUCAAAUGCAAACCUGUCAACUAUAACUAAGCCCUCUUAAUUGUCAAGAAAAAGAAUUAGUAUAACAGAUGAGCUGCAUAUGGUAUCAUUUUGAAACUAAAAAAAAUGCACAGUACAGACUACCAUUUCAAACUUAAAACAAAACUGCAAUGAGCUGGAUAUGGCCAUCCAAGAGUUUGCAUUAGGUCAGGAACAGUGUGACACUAAAAAGGAGCACAUUGAACUUGAGUAUUAGAACAUACCACCAAGGCUUUUAGCUGCGUUUUUCAAGCUCCCAGAAAAAUAUUGCUGAAGAACCUCUAAACUGAUAGUCUUUUCAGCUUUCCCACGUCUCCUUUCAGGGGGUUUGUUGGUUUUGUGAAGCAAUGAAGAAUCAGAAGCACCGCUACCAUUUGGCCUGCCAGCAGAAGUACCAUUGUCUUGAGAGUAGUCAUCAGUCAACAAUUGUCCCUCUGUCAAAUCCA
RNAcentral lists this long non-coding RNA (1035 nucleotides) under Sorghum bicolor (sorghum). RNAcentral describes it as "long non-coding RNA (SBIC_LNC003968)". Lineage: Eukaryota; Viridiplantae; Streptophyta; Magnoliopsida; Poales; Poaceae. The record is from RNAcentral.